UUUUGAUAUAAAAUACAUUUUAUCUAACAUAUUUUGAUAUAAAAUAAGUGUUUUUAUUAGUAUUUGAUAUAAAAUACAUUUUAUACGUCCCCCUUGAUAUCCAAUAGUUUUCAUUUCACAGUUUUUUUUUUCUACAACCAAUAUUUUCUGCGAUAUUAACUUGUAACAUUUCAUUUGUCUCACCCUGUAUACAGAAUGUCCGUCCAUAAAUGUCCAAGCAAAUAUCUCACAACUGAUUGAAGUUGUGUUAUAUUAUGAUCUUGUGUUAUAGAUCGUUGGAUUCGUCUCAGUAACGGUUACAAGACUGCGUAAAAAAAUCCAUAUAGUCUCAUUUAAAAAAAUAAAGGAGACCUUGAUCUUACCUUAGUUUAUCAAUCGAUAAGAAAAUCCCUCUUAUCAUCAUAUAUUCCCCUUGAUAUCAAACAGUUUUCAUCUCACACCUUUUUUCUAUAACCAAUAUUUUCUACGAUAUUAACUUAUAGCGAUUUAUUUGCCUCACACUGUAUGUUACAUAUAUGUAUAAAUACAUGAUAUAUGUAUGUAUAAAUAUAUGCAUUUAUGCAUAUAUACGUAUAUCUUUUUUUCUCUUUUUUUUGGAAAAUUACACAGGUCUGCAUGAUUUUGCGGUCUGGAGAAAACAAUUAGUUUUAUAUAUUCUUUUCUUUCAUAUAUUUCUUUCUUAAUAAAUUCAAUCCAACCCGAAAACAAUAAAAAGAUUUUAUUAUUUUUUGAUAGGAUAUUAUCGCGUGAAUUAUGAUUCUCAAAAUUGGGAAUUAAUUACAAUGUAUUUAAAGGAGAAUUACGCAAAUAUACACGUUUUGAAUCGUGCCCAACUUAUUGAUGAUGCUUUUCACUUAAUGUUAACACACCAAGUUGAUUCCUCAAUAUUCUGGGAUAUCACAAAAUAUCUCCAGCAAGAGACAAAUUAUGUGGCCUGGUAUCCUAUGUUCAAAGCUUUAGAAUACAUGUCGAGCAUCUUUAGUAUUGAUACUGUCGGUUCCAAACUUCAUUUUGUGAGGAUAAUGAUGCGGAAUACAUUACAUGAUAUGUUGGAGAAAAUUAAUUAUAUAGAAGUUCCUAACGAAGAUGAGCAUAAAAAAUGUUUAAGGCAAGAGGCUGCGAAAUGGGCAUGUUUAUUACAUCGCCGGGAGUGUUUAGAAAAAGCCAACAAUAAAUUAAUGCAACAUUUUGCGGACCCUAAAAAGCAUAAACUUUUGCCGUGGUGGACAGAAUGGACAUAUCGUAAUGGUUUGUCUUUAUGCGAAGCAGACUCUAUUUGGAAAGAUUUGUAUAAUAUGUGGGUGAACAACACUGAUAAUAAAAUUUCUAAAUUCUUAAGUUGCAUUCAAAAUGUUGAUAUCAUCAAAUACUAUUUAAGCAAAACAGCAAAUGUGAUUAAGGAAUCGAGUCCGGAAGAUUAUAUUUUAAGAUUGCAAGCUAUUAACAAUUUUCUUACUACUAUCACAAAACAUGUAAGAAUCGAAUAUACAUAGCUGCAUAUUAAGUAAUUUCGAAAAAAUAAUACCUAGACAAAUCAGCAUAGUUGCAACAUUAACUGUUAUUAUUAAUCAUUUAUAUGAUGACGAACAGCUUAUCAAGGUAAAUAUUUUAUGAAUUUAUUUACGUUAAGUAUGAUUCUUCCUAAAAACAGUUGAAUUAUUAUUUAUUAACAAUAAGUAUCAAAAUGUUAUUUUUUAGUUAGAAAAUUUUCUGAAAAAUGAUCUGAGGAGGAGAAAACUGCAUUUUGAAUUUAGUACAGAAAUAUCAUCUCAAAAAAUAAGAAACACGAAGCAAAUGCGAAUCUGUUAAAAAUUCAGGAUAAGAUAAAAAAUCGUCGCUCCCAAAUCGAG
RNA transcript from Formica exsecta, 1850 nucleotides. It is a transcript of the gene named aminopeptidase N-like, with no coding region annotated. NCBI's taxonomy places the organism in Eukaryota, Metazoa, Arthropoda, Insecta, Hymenoptera, Formicidae. The record is from RefSeq and is a predicted model, not a curated record. The transcript has 5 exons.